UACAGAGGGGGCAAGCGUUAUUCGGAAUUAUUGGGCGUAAAGGGCGCGUAGGCGGCUUUGCAAGUGACGGGUGAAAUCCCUCGGCUUAACCGAGGAACUGCCUGUCAGACUGCAUGGCUUGAGACCGGGAGAGGUGAGUGGAAUUCCCAGUGUAGCGGUGAAAUGCUUAGAUAUGGCACAGAACACCGAUAGUGAAGACAGCUCACGAAGGCGAAACUGACACUGAGGCACGAAAGCGUGGGGAUCGAACAGG
Molecule: ribosomal RNA, 253 nt
Filed under: uncultured bacterium
Lineage: Bacteria
Description: partial 16S ribosomal RNA
Rfam family: Bacterial small subunit ribosomal RNA
Source: RNAcentral